This 504-nucleotide ribosomal RNA is filed under the name Physella acuta. RNAcentral describes it as "partial 16S ribosomal RNA". It matches the Rfam family "Bacterial large subunit ribosomal RNA", at positions 1806 to 2596 of the family's 2925-position model. The record is from RNAcentral. Lineage: Eukaryota; Metazoa; Mollusca; Gastropoda; Physidae.
AUCAAAAACAUAGUCGGCAGACCAACUAUUUUGUAAUUGUCGAUAACUUCUGCCCGGUGUUCUUAAUAAACGGCCGCAGUACCUUGACUGUGCUAAGGUAGCAUAAUCAAUUGGCUAUUAAUUGUAGUCUAGUAUGAAUGAAGUAAUGGAUAGUAGCUAUAAUAAAAAAUUUUUUUUUAAUUUAAUGAACUGGUGAAAAUACCAGUGAUAAGAAAAAAGACGAGAAGACCCUUAGAGUUUUUAAUAAAGUUUGAUAAGACUUUGAUGAUACCAUCUUAAAGUAUAUAAUACAGAACACUUUUUUGUUGGGGCGACAAGAAAGCAUUGAAACCUUUCUAAUUACUCUAAAAUAUUAGCAUCAGAUCUGACGAUAUUUUUAUGAUUAGUUAAACUACCUUAGGGAUAACAGCAUAAUGAUAAAUAUUAGUUUGUGACCUCGAUGUUGGACUAGGGACUUGUACACUAACCGUGAUAAAAGAAUGUUCUGUUCGAACAAUAACCCCC